This 245-nucleotide ribosomal RNA is filed under the name uncultured bacterium. RNAcentral describes it as "partial 16S ribosomal RNA". It matches the Rfam family "Bacterial small subunit ribosomal RNA", at positions 524 to 768 of the family's 1533-position model. The record is from RNAcentral.
UACGAAGGGUUCAAACGUUAUUCGGAAUCACUGGGCGUAAAGGGUGCGUAGACGGUAUGUUAAGUUCGUCGUUAAAGGCUCCGGCCUAACCGGAGUACCGCGAUGAAAACUGGCGUGCUAGAGGGUGAGAGAGAGAAGUGGAAUUCCUGGAGUAGCGGUAAAAUGCGUGGAUCUCAGGAGGAACACCAAUGGCGAAGGCAGCUUCUUGGCUCAUUCCUGACGUUGAGGCACGAAAGCGUGGGGAG